UUCUACACAAGUCCACCGAGCUCGUACUAAAAUCCCUAGCCGCUAUCAUAGUUAGUUAAUUCGCCAAUUAUUCGCGAAUUAUUCACGAAUUUUUGAAAUGCCGAAUAAAACAGCCGUUUUCAAAUUUUUCCGAAAAAUUCAAAAAAAUUCACUUUUUUUGAGCAAAAAUAAUUAUUCGCGAAUUAAAUAAAUACUGUUCAUGA
RNAcentral lists this long non-coding RNA (203 nucleotides) under Ananas comosus (pineapple). RNAcentral describes it as "long non-coding RNA (ACOM_LNC038665)". Lineage: Eukaryota; Viridiplantae; Streptophyta; Magnoliopsida; Poales; Bromeliaceae. The record is from RNAcentral.